CCUACGGGAGGCAGCAGUGGGGAAUCUUGCGCAAUGGGCGAAAGCCUGACGCAGCAACGCCGCGUGCGGGAAGAAGGCUUUCGGGCUGUAAACCGCUUUCAGCAGGAACGAAAAUGACGGUACCUGCAGAAGAAGGAGCGGCCAACUAUGUGCCAGCAGCCGCGGUGAUACAUAGGCUUCAAGCGUUGUCCGGAUUUAUUGGGCGUAAAGAGUUCGUAGGCGGUCAAGUAAGUCGGGUGUGAAAAUUCUGGGCUCAACCCAGAGACGCCACCCGAUACUGCUUAACUUGAGUUCGAUAGGGGAGUGGGGAAUUCCUAGUGUAGCGGUGAAAUGCGCAGAUAUUAGGAGGAACACCGGUGGCGAAGGCGCCACUCUGGAUCGAUACUGACGCUGAGGAACGAAAGCAUGGGUAGCAAACAGGAUUAGAUACCCUGGUAGUCCAUGCCGUAAACGGUGGGCACUAGGUGUGGGUUUCUAUUAACGAAAUCCGCGCCGUCGCUAACGCAUUAAGUGCCCCGCCUGGGGAGUCGGUCGCAAGCUAAAACUCAAAGGAAUUGACGGCNGAGAGUGCGACGCGACGACGAGGAGAG
RNAcentral lists this ribosomal RNA (590 nucleotides) under uncultured bacterium. Its description in RNAcentral is "bacterial SSU rRNA". It matches the Rfam family "Bacterial small subunit ribosomal RNA", at positions 338 to 945 of the family's 1533-position model. The record is from RNAcentral.